CCCCUUGUCUUCUCUAGAUUCAUCUUCAACCACCUGUCUUUCAUUAGACAGAGGGAAAGCUGGAAGAUGGUGCUGCCUGCAUCUGAGGAAAAAGAGAGAGAUGUCCUGCGGGAUCAUGGGAACUGAAAAUUUCCUCAAACUGCUUAACGUAGGUGAUUACAAAAGAUGAGAGAGAUAAUUGAGAACUGAGCCAUAAGGAACUCCAUGGCGAACACCUAGCACCACUAGAAAUCAAUCUACCCCACUCUGCACUAACUGAAGUUCUUGAGUGGCCUUCAGAGGCAGCCUCAUGUUGAAUUAAUCCAACACGGAGGUUACAAACUCAGGGAUAGUUGUGCUGACCUCUGCAUCAGAAAGAAAUGGUUGAAACCUGACAAAAGGCAGAUGGGGAAAAGAUGCUGAUGUCCACAGUUCCUACCUAAGAGUAUAUGAGCAGCCGGGGGUUCAGACUGAACUUCUUUGAAUGUUGGUGUAUAUUCUAUCUGGAACUGUAGAUGUUUCCCACUAGCUCCCAACAUCACCUCUGUUAUAUUUGGAAGAAACCUCAGCUGGCUCACUUUCAUCUGAGACCUUGUCUCAGAAAAACACUGGAAAAGCAGAGGAACUAUUUCAAGGACUGAACAUCAACAUGUCAGUCCAAACCAACUCUAUAUUCCUUAGCUAUCCCUGUGUACUAUACAGUUAAUGAGAGAGUGACAUAAUGGAGCCCUGGUACACCCUACAUCAGAGGACUCUUGGGUGUAUGAAUAACUGCCCAACACACCUUCUCAGAAAAGAAAGAACAGCUGAAGCAAGAUUGUGUUUACACUGCUAGGAUAUUGUUCAUGAUCAACACUAUUGAAAGCUCCUGACUGCUUGUAUAACCAGCUCUCCACCCCCAGAAGGAGAUAUUGAAACCAGUGCAAUCUCUCAGCUAUGCCCAGCCUGAAAGACAGAUUGCUACAGCCUUCUCAAUCACCUUCCCCCAAAAUGGGAAGCUAGAGGCAGCAUGCUGGGCUAUCCCUUUCCUUCUACAUCUGUCUGGCCUGCCACCUUUGCACUCACACAGUCACAAAUCUAGGGGGAAGGUAACUGGAGCUUUGCUUUCUCAGAGUCCUACCCCUAUUAAGUGCCUAAUCCAUGAAAAGUCCACCCAGCAUGAAGGCAUUAAAGACUUGAUCCUGCAAGAUUCUGAGCACACUGGCUUGAUCCAUCAAAGCACUUAAGCACAGAUGAGGAAACUGAGGCAGAGAGCAGACAGGUGGUUUGCCUAAUCUCCUAUCUCCUGUCAUGGAUUAUCAAGACAAGAUAACUCCAGGAAAGGGACAGCCUCUGCACCCCUUCUUCAUGAGCACUAAAGGAAAGGAAAGACCUACCAGCUCAAUCCCUGUUCUCCAAACAAACAUACAGGGAUCAUACAGCAUUCUCACUGGCCCUUCGAUUUCUACUGGCUGCUGUACAUCGUCAACUUGAUCCCUGGCCUAACGUACUUUCAUUGACUGUACCAAGAGGAAGCACUUCCAUGAUGAAGUUAUGGUUGAAGUUCUUGAGCAGGCUGACAAGCACGUCCAGUACCAGAAGGACUCAAGACUGGAGAAACAGCAUGCUGAUAGGCAGGAGGAAAGGCUGAGGCUCUGUGUGCAGCUGGAGGAGAGGGUUUCAGCAAGGGAGUAGGCACUUGCAAUACAGUUCCCGGAAAAGGAACAAUGACUAAGGGAGCUCAACAGAGAAAACAGUUUGAGCGACUCAUCUCCAUCCUGGCCGGAAGAGAACAGGGUCCUACUGCCUCUCCCACACCAUGGCCUGAUCCCCCAGCAACAUACCCUAGGUACAGAAGUAGCUUGGACAACUCCAUGUUGGGGUAGGCCAUGCCAUCAAGCCUCAUGAACAGCUGGGCAGGGCAACUAAAUACCAUGCAGUUCUUCCUUUCUGAACCCCUCUCCUGUGAAUAAUUUCCCCCUCCCAUCCUCUCCAGUGCCACGUGCAUGGAAAACGGGGAAAGGAGAAUGUGUGGCCAGGGGACAUGCAGCGGUAGGGGGUUUGUAUCGUGUUUGCACUGUUUGCUGUAUUCUUUUUUUGUUUGUUUGUUUUGGAAAUAUUCUUCUGUUAGUUGUUUUUGGGUGUGAUAAUGACAGCUGGCCUGCCUAGCAAUGGUGGGAGACAGUUGUACUGUUUUAACUCAUGUUUACAAAUAAAGCCUUUUAUGUCAUCAA
Molecule: long non-coding RNA, 2192 nt
Organism: Trachemys scripta elegans
Lineage: Eukaryota; Metazoa; Chordata; Testudines; Emydidae
Exons: 6
Source: RefSeq, a predicted model, not a curated record